AAAAUUAAGGGUCUCCGUUGGUGACCAGCGGAGGGACAUUA
Molecule: ribosomal RNA, 41 nt
Filed under: Fusarium sp. SFCF20120912-15
Lineage: Eukaryota; Fungi; Ascomycota; Sordariomycetes; Hypocreales; Nectriaceae
Description: partial 18S ribosomal RNA
Source: RNAcentral